UUACCGUGGCAACGAUGAAUAGCAGGCCUGAGAGGGUGGCCUGCCACACUGGGACUGGAACACGGCCCAGACUCCUACGGGAGGCAGCAGUGGGGAAUAUUGCGCAAUGGACGAAAGUCUGACGCAGCGACGCCGCGUGGAGGAUGAAGGUUUUCGGAUCGUAAACUCCUGUCAAGAGGGAAGAAACCUGUUGAAACUAAUACUUUCAGCAAUUGACGGUACCUCUAGAGGAAGCACCGGCUAAUUCAGUGCCAGCAGCCGCGGUAAUACUGAAGGUGCAAGCGUUAAUCGGAAUCACUGGGCGUAAAGCGCUCGUAGGUGGCUUUGUAAGUCAGGUGUGAAAGCCCACGGCUCAACCGUGGAAUUGCACUUGAUACUGCAUCGCUAGAGUAUAGGAGAGGGAAGUGGAAUUUCUGGUGUAGGAGUGAAAUCCGUAGAGAUCAGAAGGAACACCCGUGGCGAAGGCGACUUCCUGGACUAUUACUGACACUGAGGAGCGAAAGCGUGGGGAGCAAACAGGAUUAGAUACCCUGGUAGUCCACGCCGUAAACGAUGGGUACUAGGUGUUGGGGGCUUG
This 577-nucleotide ribosomal RNA is filed under the name uncultured bacterium. RNAcentral describes it as "bacterial SSU rRNA". It matches the Rfam family "Bacterial small subunit ribosomal RNA", at positions 265 to 833 of the family's 1533-position model. The record is from RNAcentral.